CCUCUACACCGAUCGCGAAAUAGCCCCAAGUUAAUUCCAAACAGGAAGAUUGAAUGAUCCAUCAGAUGAAAUCCCAAUCACAGACGUCGAACAGAAGAGAAAACCCGAAAGAAACGCCCGCAGCUCAAGAUGCAAAUGCUGAAAAUGGAUAAGAACAGGUGCCGCCAACACCAAGAACAAACAAGGUGAAAAAGUUCCAGAGAGCUUGUCUGAAAAAUCCUGUUAAGGUUGAAGCUACGUCCAAAUACUCAACUGUGUAUACGCUGAAGCAAAAGUUUUGCUUCAUUUUUCAAAGCAUAAAGUCUGUAGAUUCCCCUGCUUCACAUUCCUUUUUGUGUGGUAUCUAUAAGAGACAGUUUACUGUUGUAUGACUUGCAAAAGAACUGCAUGAACAUUAAUUUGGUGAUUAUUGGAUUUUGUUCGGUUGGAUAGGGUGGAAAAAAUUGAAUCCACGCUUGUGGUAAAGAGUACGUUAUUGCAUAUUGUGAGUCAAUGUUAGAUAAAGUGAAAGUUGCAAGAUAUUUCUUUUCUGAAUUAUUUCAUGUAGUUUUCUUCAGUUUCUGUACCUUAUAUUUUGCUGCAAGAUUGCUAUCUUGUUCAUAUUCUCACCAAGAUGUCAGGAAAGACAUCUAUGGUUUUUACUAGAACAUGUAAAUGUGAUGCAAAUCGUCUUUUGGGUGAGUGGUCAAAUGAGCCAGGUAUAUUUCAAAAAUCAUAUAGCAUUUUAUUCUAAGGUAAUUUAUUUUCAUCUACAUGAUAUUAUUUUUCUUGAUAAUUGUUUGCAGGAGAAAAGGACUUGGAGCCUUGAACAUAUUCAAAGAGGAAGAGUGCGAUGUACUUAUAUGCAAUGAUGUUGCCAGUAGAGGACUUGAUAUUCCUUCUGUAGAUAUGGUUAUCAAUUAUGAUAUCCCAAUGAACUCAAAGAUAUUAAUAUGAGGCUAAGAAGAUAAUGCCUCGCUAGAAUGUUACAAAUAGAAUGUUACAGAGGCCAAAAGAAUAUCGAAGAUGGUAUGUAUAGACUAUUCUCUUCAUCUGACGAAGAGUAAUAUAGUUUUUGCUUGAUUGAAAUAUUGGUUUUCAUUCCCUUUUGUUGAACUGUGAUUUUCUAGGCUAUAAAUUUGCUUUUAUUUUCUUCAAACUUUUGCUGAAAAUCAAAGAAACCAGAGGCUAGAAGACACGAAAACAAGAUGAUGAUAACGCAGAGGACACUGAUAAAUAUUUAGGUCUCAAGAAAACGAAGUCAUUUGAGAAAUGAAAGAGAAGAUAACAGAAGGAUUUUCUGUCAAGUUUUGUUCAAAUUAGGACUAGUCAAUUUUAUACUUAUUCAUAAUUUUGUUUUUCUCGUGAGAGUUUGUGACACAAUUUUGAUUAUGAUUUUUUAUGGUAUAUAUGAUUUUGCCUUUAUUACCAAAUUUCUCCUCCUAAUGUUGUCAUAUUAUCAUGUAUUUUCGAGCUACUGACAUUCUGUUUUAGACAGGAGCUGUAGUUCUUGUCACUCAGAACUAAGAGAUUUGUAUUUAAUAUGGCUCUUG
This is a long non-coding RNA of Olea europaea var. sylvestris, 1532 nucleotides long. RefSeq lists it as uncharacterized. The transcript is spliced from 4 exons. The record is from RefSeq and is a predicted model, not a curated record. Lineage: Eukaryota; Viridiplantae; Streptophyta; Magnoliopsida; Lamiales; Oleaceae.